This 28-nucleotide ribosomal RNA is filed under the name fungal endophyte sp. AlS4. RNAcentral describes it as "partial 18S ribosomal RNA". Lineage: Eukaryota; Fungi. The record is from RNAcentral.
UCCGUUGGUGAACCAGCGGAAGGACUUA